UUUUACAUUUUUUGAUGAUAUAUGUAGCUACUGAAAACUGGGUUUCUUCUAGUCUAAUCUUUUAUUAGUGUAAAGUGAAAAAACUUUUAAGAAGCAGCAUGGCGUCAGUCAGACAGGAAUAUUUUCCUUGGCAGUAAUUCAGAGUAAAAGUCCUGUGGACUUCCGCAGCUUUAAACCCAGAAUAGCUGUCGGGAUUGAAGCGACUUCUACUCAGAAUUUUGACGAAUUGCAGUACUUUCCGAGCAUUAGGAGAUCUGGCGCGCGACGCAGCUGCGUCACCACACGACGAGUGGCUUGGCCACGCGGGAGGGGCCACGAGCUCACAAGUGUAGAGCGAGCGCGCGCACCUCACUCCGUCGCUGGCGCUGGAGGACGGAGCAGCGGAACCUGUGACCUGUCCUGAACCUGUGGGAGCCAGUGUGAGCCUCCGCCGGAGAAAAUAGUUCCACAUAUUUGGAAUUUAAAAGAAAAAGACCUUCACACUCACACUGGAAGCAUGCUGCAGUCAUAAGUUAGGAGGAAGAAGCCAUGAAUGCCUUUAACUUCACUGGCGUGAACUCCACUCAUGGGUACCCGGCAUCCACGGAGGACCCCCUGUACAAGCAGUACAAGCCCCAGGUGAAGGAGCUCAUCCCCUUACCCAAAGGAGUGCUCUACCUGAUCAUGGCCGCACUGGUCGUCGUUGGAGUUGCCUACGCCAUCGUCGGACACCUGAUCAAAGAUCUGGCCAUUGACAUUGCAGAGUGCUUGCUGGGUCCGGCAGGCGACGAGGAGAAGAACGUGGACGACAACCCUCAGCUGAUGCGCUUCGGCCACCCCCCCUCUGUGCACCCCUUCGCCCACAACGCCUUCCACGUGUGGGACCAGGACGACGUGGUCAUCCCUCUGUCUCCAGACGAGAGCCCUCAGACCAGCCCGCUGCUGCUGGCCGCCAUCCCCUACAUCCCCACCUUCUUCCCACACUCUCAAGGGAACCACAACCCCCAGAUGCUGUCGGGGAGCCCAGGCAUAAGCAAGGAGGUCAGCACCCCCAGGGAGUUCUGA
This 1044-nucleotide long non-coding RNA is filed under the name Oryzias sinensis (Chinese medaka). RNAcentral describes it as "lncRNA (ENSOSIG00000016726.1)". The record is from RNAcentral. Lineage: Eukaryota; Metazoa; Chordata; Actinopteri; Beloniformes; Adrianichthyidae.